GACGAACGCUGGCGGCGUGCUUAACACAUGCAAGUCGAGCGGAAAGGCCCUUCGGGGUACUCGAGCGGCGAACGGGUGAGUAACACGUGAGUAACCUGCCCCAGACUUUGGGAUAACCCUCGGAAACGGGGGCUAAUACCGGAUACGACACAGCUUCGCAUGGGGUCUGUGUGGAAAGUUUUUCGGUUUGGGAUGGGCUCGCGGCCUAUCAGCUUGUUGGUGGGGUGAUGGCCUACCAAGGCGACGACGGGUAGCCGGCCUGAGAGGGCGACCGGCCACACUGGGACUGAGACACGGCCCAGACUCCUACGGGAGGCAGCAGUGGGGAAUAUUGCACAAUGGGCGGAAGCCUGAUGCAGCGACGCCGCGUGAGGGAUGACGGCCUUCGGGUUGUAAACCUCUUUCAGCAGGGACGAAGCGUAAGUGACGGUACCUGCAAAAGAAGCGCCGGCCAACUACGUG
Molecule: ribosomal RNA, 462 nt
Filed under: uncultured bacterium
Lineage: Bacteria
Description: partial 16S ribosomal RNA
Rfam family: Bacterial small subunit ribosomal RNA
Source: RNAcentral